CUGGUUACAGACCCUCCACCACCACCACUACCAGUCAGAUUCUCCACCAUCACCACCAGUCAGACCCUCCACCCCCACUACCAGUCAGACCCUCCACCACCACCACUACUACCAGUCAGACCCUCCACCCCCCCCCCCACUACCAGUCAGACCCUCCACCACUACUACUACAAGUCAGACCCUCCACCACCACUACUACCAGUCAGACCCUCCACCACCACCACCACUACCAGUCAGACCCUCCACCACCGCCACUACAAGUCAGACCCUCCACCACCACCACUACUACAAGUCAGACCCUCCACCACCACCACUACUACCAGUCAGACCCUCCACCACCACCACUACAACAAGUCAGACCCUCCACCACAACCACUACUACAAGUCAGACCCUCCACCACCACCACUACUACUACAAGUCAGACCCUCCACCACCACCACUACUACUACAAGUCAGACCCUCCACCACCACCACUACUACUACAAGUCAGACCCUCCACCACCACCACUACUACCACAAGUCAGACCCUCCACCACCACCACUACUACCAAUCAGACCCUCCACCACUACUACUACUACUACCAGUCAGACCCUCCACCACCACCACCACCACCACUACUACAAGUCAGACCCUCCACCACCACCACCACUACUACUACAAGUCAGACCCUCCACCACCACCACCACUACUACAAGUCAGACCCUCCACCACCACCACCACUACUACAAGUCAGACCCUCCACCACCACCACUACUACUACCAGUCAGACCCUCCACCACCACUACUACUACAAGUCAGACCCUCCACCACCACCACCACUACUACAAGUCAGACCCUCCACCACCACCACUACUACCAGUCAGACCCUCCACCACCACCACUACUACUACUACCAGUCAGACCCUCCACCACCACUACUACUACCAGUCAGACCCUCCACCACCACCACUACUACUACCAGUCAGACCCUCCACCACCACCACUACUACCAGUCAGACCCUCCACCACCACCACUACUACAAGUCAGACCCUCCACCACCACCACUACUACAAGUCAGACCCUCCACCACCACUACUACUACAAGUCAGACCCUCCACCACCACUACUACCAGUCAGACCCUCCACCACUACUACUACAAGUCAGACCCUCCACCACCACCACCACUACUACUACAAGUCAGACCCUCCACCACCACCACCACCACUACUACAAGUCAGACCCUCCACCACCACUACUACCAGUCAGACCCUCCACCACCACUACUAGUCAGACCCUCCACGACCACCUCCACUACCAGUCAGACCCUCCACCCCGAGUCAGACCCUCCACCCCCACCCCGAGUCAGACCCUCCACCACCACCAGUCAGACCCUCCACCACCACCACCACUACCAAUCAGACCCUCCACCACCACCCAGACCCUCCACCCCCACCAGUCAGACCAUCCAUCCCCACACCGAGUCAGACCCUCCAUCACCAAUCAGACCAUCCACCCCCAGUCAGACCCUCCACAACCAGUCAGACCCUCCACCAGUAAGACCAUCCACCCCACCACCAAUCAGACCAUCAGCCCCACCCACCACCCAGACCCUCCACCCCCACCACCACUACCAGUCAGACCCUCCACCACCAUCCACCCCACCACCAGUCAGAUCAUCCACCACCACCACCACUACCAGUCAGAACAUACACCCCCACCAGUCAGACCCUCCACCCCCAGUCAGACCCUCCACCUCCAGUCAGACCAUACACCCCCACCAGUCAGACCAUACACCCCCACCAGUCAGAACAUACACCCCCACCAGUCAGAACAUACACCCCCACCAGUCAGAACAUACACUCCCACCAGUCGUACACCAUAACAUCAGGUUCCAUAACCCUGCAGCUCUUCUGUUCCAGGGGUCAAAAAUGUCACCAAAUAUCAAAUUUGAUUAA
Molecule: long non-coding RNA, 1938 nt
Organism: Oncorhynchus kisutch (coho salmon)
Lineage: Eukaryota; Metazoa; Chordata; Actinopteri; Salmoniformes; Salmonidae
Source: Ensembl